GAUGAAGAACGCAGCGAAAUGCGAUACGUAAUGUGAAUUGCAAAUUCAGUGAAUCAUCGAGUCUUUGAACGCACAUUGCGCCCCCUGGUAUUCCGGGGGGCAUGCCUGUCCGAGCGUCAUUGCUGCCCCCAAGCACGGCUUGUGUGUUGGGCCCCGUCCUCCGAUCCCGGGGGACGGGCCCGAAAGGCAGCGGCGGCACCGCGUCCGGUCCUCGAGCGUAUGGGGCUUUGUCACCCGCUCUGUAGGCCCGGCCGGCGCUUGCCGAUCAACCCAAAUUUUUAUCCAGGUUGACCUCGGAUCAGGUAGGGAUACCCGCUGAACUUAAGCAUAUCAAUAAGCGGAGGA
Molecule: unclassified non-coding RNA, 345 nt
Filed under: soil metagenome
Description: partial contains 5.8S ribosomal RNA, internal transcribed spacer 2, and large subunit ribosomal RNA
Rfam family: 5.8S ribosomal RNA (bases 1-119)
Source: RNAcentral